Molecule: RNA transcript, 1887 nt
Organism: Prunus dulcis (almond)
Lineage: Eukaryota; Viridiplantae; Streptophyta; Magnoliopsida; Rosales; Rosaceae
Gene name: probable pectinesterase 53
Exons: 6
Source: RefSeq, a predicted model, not a curated record
UAGAUUGUUUCUCCUCUAUCUCUCUCUCUCUCUCUCACAUUACAAUUUACAUGGAUGUCCAUAGAAGCACCCGUGACUUCUUCACUCUGUCUAGACUGUCUUUGAUUCUCCAAUUCAGCAUAACUUUCCACCUAAAACAAAAGCCAUUCUCUAUAUAUAUAAACCAAACCAAGCACAAGCACAAGCACAAGCACAAGCCUUUCUCUAUUUAUAAAAGCACUUGGAAUUCCAAACUAAUUUAACAUACUCUCUAUUACUCUUUAUACUCAUAUUCUCUCCUUCUCAUAUCAGUCCCAAUUCUUUUUUCUGUUUUAAAAUUAAAUGCCAACAUUCCAACACAUUUUCUAUGUUAUUAUUGUUCUUCUUCUCUUCAAUUCAACCCAAACACAAUGCCACAGCAAGGGACUUCGACCUGGGAAUUCAGCUGGGAAAGUACAUUUGACCAAGAACAUGACACAAGCCCAAUUCUCAGAACAGCAAUUCAUGAAAUGGGUGAGGUUUGUUGGAAGGCUGAAGCACUCUGUGUUCAAGACAGCCAAAAAUAAGCUCUUCCCUUCUUACACUCUGCAUGUGGCUAAGAACCGUGCUGCUGGAGACUUCACAACCAUUCAGGACGCCAUUGACUCUCUCCCAUUCAUCAAUCUCUUGAGAGUGGUCAUCAAGGUCCAUGCAGGGGUCUACACGGAGAAGGUUAAUAUACCUCCAUUGAAAUCAUAUAUAACCAUAGAAGGAGCAGGGGCAGACAAAACAAUUGUCCAAUGGGGAGACACUGCUCAAACACCAUCUGGUCCAAAGAAACAACCUAUGGGGACUUACAAUUCUGCAACUUUUGCUGUGAAUUCCCCUUAUUUCAUUGCCAGGAACAUCACAUUCAAGAACACUACACCAGUCCCAGCACCAGGAGCAAUUGGUAAGCAGGCAGUGGCAUUUAGAAUAUCAGCAGAUACAGCAGCCUUCUUGGGGUGCAAAUUCUUGGGGGCACAAGAUACACUCUAUGAUCAUUUGGGAAGGCAUUAUUACAAGGAUUGCUACAUUGAAGGUUCAGUGGACUUCAUCUUUGGAAAUGGACUCUCCCUAUUUGAGGGAUGUCACGUGCACGCAAUAGCACAGAACAUAGGAGCUCUCACAGCACAAGGCAGGAGCAGCCUGUUGGAGGAAACGGGCUUCUCAUUUGUAAACUGUAAGGUCACGGGCUCAGGAGCACUCUAUCUUGGUAGGGCAUGGGGUCCUUUCUCCAGGGUGGUCUUCGCAUACACAUAUAUGGACAACAUUAUCAUGCCUAAAGGCUGGUAUAACUGGGGUGACCCUAACCGUGAAAUGACUGUGUUUUAUGGGCAAUACAAGUGCACUGGACCAGGAGCUCGCUUUGCAGGGAGGGUUUCAUGGUCUAGAGAGCUCACUGAUGAGGAAGCCAAGCCUUUUAUUUCCCUUACCUUCAUAGAUGGCUCUGAGUGGAUCAAAUUGUAAUGAUUGAUCAACUAAAACACCAAAACUAUUUUUUUCAAAUAAAAAGAUUAAAAGAAGUCCUUGUUUAAUCUGUGAUCUCUGAGGCUCUGCCAGAGCUAGACCCUAAGAGAACCAAUCUUGAAAGCUCCCUUUCAUGAAAAAUCUAGCAAAAGGACAUUGCUCCCAGUAAAGCUUUGUUUUUUUUGCAAAGCCUGCCUCUGCAUCAGGAAAGCUUGAAAAGAAUGCGGCCUCAGCCUUCCUAUACCCUUUCUGACAGGUCGAAAGCUAAUCAUCAUUGGCUUAUAUCCCCUUGGAAACUGGAACAAAAAAUUUACUUUCAAGAGUAAUUGAUAACCAUGAUUGAAUUGAAACUAUUAAUUGUUCCCCUAUUUUUUCAGAAAAGUUUUAGUUGGUCAAGGAAAGGAACUAGAAAUUAUGGGA